RNAcentral lists this ribosomal RNA (326 nucleotides) under uncultured bacterium. RNAcentral's name for it is "bacterial SSU rRNA". It matches the Rfam family "Bacterial small subunit ribosomal RNA", at positions 1 to 334 of the family's 1533-position model. The record is from RNAcentral.
GUGUCUCUAUCAGAGUUUGAUCCUGGCUCAGGAUGAACGCUGACAGAAUGCUUAACACAUGCAAGUCGACUCGAGUCUUCGGACUUGGGUGGCGCACGGGUGAGUAACGCGUAUCCAACCUUCCGGUUACUCGGGGAUAGGCCUUCGAAAGAAAGAUUAAUACCCGAUGUUGCGUAUCUUUCUCCCGAAAGAUACGCCAAAGGAUUCCGGUAACCGAUGGGGAUGCGUUCCAUUAGGCAGUUGGCGGGGUAACGGCCCACCAAACCUUCGAUGGAUAGGGGUUCUGAGAGGAAGGUCCCCCACAUUGGAACUGAGACACGGCCCUU